Molecule: ribosomal RNA, 301 nt
Filed under: uncultured bacterium
Lineage: Bacteria
Description: partial 16S ribosomal RNA
Rfam family: Bacterial small subunit ribosomal RNA
Source: RNAcentral
CAGCAGCCGCGGUAACACGGAGGGAGCUAGCGUUAUUCGGAAUUACUGGGCGUAAAGCGCACGUAGGCGGCUUUGUAAGUUAGAGGUGAAAGCCUGGAGCUCAACUCCAGAAUUGCCUUUAAGACUGCAUCGCUUGAAUCCAGGAGAGGUGAGUGGAAUUCCGAGUGUAGAGGUGAAAUUCGUAGAUAUUCGGAAGAACACCAGUGGCGAAGGCGGCUCACUGGACUGGUAUUGACGCUGAGGUGCGAAAGCGUGGGGAGCAAACAGGAUUAGAUACCCCCGUAGUCCCUGUCUCUUAUAC